RNAcentral lists this ribosomal RNA (413 nucleotides) under uncultured bacterium. RNAcentral's name for it is "bacterial SSU rRNA". It matches the Rfam family "Bacterial small subunit ribosomal RNA", at positions 505 to 916 of the family's 1533-position model. The record is from RNAcentral.
GUGUCAGCCGCCGCGGUAAUACGUAGGUGGCGAGCGUUGUCCGGAAUUACUGGGUGUAAAGGGCGUGUAGGCGGGGGCAUAAGUCAGAUGUGAAAUCCCGGGGCUUAACUCCGGGGCUGCAUCUGAAACUAUGUUUCUUGAGUGCUGGAGAGGGAAGCGGAAUUCCUAGUGUAGCGGUGAAAUGCGUAGAUAUUAGGAGGAACACCAGUGGCGAAGGCGGCUUCCUGGACAGUAACUGACGCUGAGGCGCGAAAGCGUGGGGAGCGAACAGGAUUAGAUACCCUGGUAGUCCACGCCGUAAACGAUGGAUACUAGGUGUAGGAGGUAUCGACCCCUUCUGUGCCGGAGUUAACACAAUAAGUAUCCCACCUGGGGAGUACGGCCGCAAGGUUGAAACUCAAAUAAAUUGACGG